Molecule: unclassified non-coding RNA, 1433 nt
Organism: Stylophora pistillata
Lineage: Eukaryota; Metazoa; Cnidaria; Anthozoa; Scleractinia; Pocilloporidae
Source: RefSeq, a predicted model, not a curated record
CCCUUGAAGGACAAACGAUUGAUAACGAUAAGAUCCUGCAGGGGAAGUGAUGAUGCUAUGCAGUUUGUAUAAUUGUCAUAUUCUAGUGCCGUUGCAGCAUGACCUCAAAUGAAUCGCGAACUUUGAAAAACCAACGGUGUGAUGUCGCAAAUUUAACUCGCCAUUUUAAGAUUCCAGCUGUCCUUCGAAGGAUGUCGUUUCAUUGUACAGAAGGCUGUUGGUGUAAACUCAUUUGAAACUGCCAACAUCAGCAUUCGACGUUUGAAGAAUUCGAAUUCGUAAGCAAAGACGUAGAAUGUGAUGUAAACAGUCACAAUUGACGUUGAACGGUUACAAACAAAGGCAACUAAUUCCGAAUACUCCUCAAACUGGCAAGAUGACGUCGGUCAAAAUUUAUUUCCGUCAAACGGUGUUCGUAUCGUUAGUCGUCUCUCUUCUGUUUUACAGCGUUUAUGCACAGGAGGUUAUCGAACGCAAGGUUUGUGCUAAUGUAUAUGCCGCAGUUGGAAAAACUGUAUGUGAUGAUAAUGCAACAUGUUUGGAGGGUGACGGUGCUAUUUCAUGCGAAUGCGAGGAGGGCGCUCUUGGUGACGGCUGGGCUAUAAGCUCGGGCUGUGUUGAAGUUGAAGGUCCUGCUUUGGAUUAUUCAGGAGUAAGGGACAAAAGGUGGCUGGGCUCGUGGAGCAAAACUAAGGAAUUCGAAAAAAAGCCUUGCACUGGACGUCUGGCACUUUUGGGAGAAAUGAUCUGUCAUAGGAACGCAUAUUGUAUGCAAGGAUACUCAAACCACUUGUCCAUGAAAUGCCUUUGCAAAAAUGGCCUCUCUGGGAAUGGCUUCAGAAAUAUCUUCUCUUUGGGCUCUGGGUGCCAUUAAGGGUAAGGAGUAAAAUAUGUAUCAAGUAAAGGUCAUUGAGUGAUUGGUAUAAUAGUACAUACAUCUCAUUUGAUUGUUUAAGCCACGAUCUUAUUAGUAAUUCUCCUCACUGUCUGCUAUACAAUUCUCAAUGUGAGUUUGGAGAAUUUGGUAUUGGAUCAUCCAAUAAUCCCUAAUUGAUAUCCAAACUGUAGCCUCAGUUUGGGUAAAAAAAAGUGCAUGUCUAUUUAUCCACAGAUGUUAUCUGUUCCAAUAGGUGAAAGUGUUCAUGAACAAAGCCUGAGGAAAACUGUGAGCUUUGAGGAACAGAUAGUGUCGAAGGACAAAUAUAUGAGCAUAUUUUUGUACUAAAUAGAGGCUAUUGUGUUUAUUAACCUUCAAAUCUUCUUCAAUGUGUGGGGAAAAUGUUCAUGAACAGCUUACCGUUUAUGGCAUGCUGGACUGACUUCCCUUUCUGUUUUUCUUCUUUGAGUUGGACUAUCGCCUUUUUUGGGACCUGACUGUAAUUCUUGGUUUUAAACUGAUUUGUGUCUUAAAUAAAAAAUAAAGCUAUUGCCAA